AUCGGUUAAUGCCAGAAUACGAGGGCUGGAUGGUGAUAUUGAAGGAAAUUCUUGUAGGAAGAAGCCAGUACCUGUACCCAGGAAAACAAGGAAAAAACAACAACCUAAGUGGCAAACAUCGGGUGAGUAUGUAAUGGUGCAAUCAUCCGUAACCCCAGACUGGAUGACGAGAGCCAGGUAUUUAGAGGUUUUAGCUACUGAGGGAAAUUUGGACAGGAUGCCAGAGAAAGUUCUGGAGUCUUUACUCUCUGUGGUAAGUGGCUCAAAUUGAUUGUUUUAUCCAUUGAUUUAAAAUAAUUUGUACUUUUAAUGUUUUCACAGGUUGGAUGUCGCUGAAGCUUCUCCAUGGCGAUGACACGGAGGUCAUUCAUCUGCGAGGGGGAGUAUGUGACAGGGUUAUAUUUUGGGAAAAUGUAUAAUAAUAAAUUGUGUAUUAUGUAUUUUUAAUUUCUGGUGCGAUAGUCUUUAGUUCAAAGUAUUUGUGUGACUUGUUUGGAGAGUAAGUUCUGUGUGUCUUGUAUGUAGGACAGGUAUGUAAGGAAUGUGAGUAUGUAUGUCAUGUGACCUGACAUAGACUUUUCAUUGGACAGUUUUACCUAACACGCAUGCUUUUAAUCACUUUUCUAUAUUCAAAAUCACUUCUGCUUUGGUAUCCAAGCACAUAACAUCUACGAAGUCAUUGUCCGAAUAUUCAAAGAGAUCUGGUGAGUUUUUACUAUUAUUGGUGUUAUUUUGAUACUUAAAUGUAUAUUAUAUUGUUGUGCUAUGAUACAACAUGUAAUUAUGUUUUUUAUGGAUAUUUUAAUAUAUUACUUGAGUAGAGAAUCUGGGGCUGAGCCACAAGAUGUAUCUCUUUGUCAUUUCAUUGUAAAAAGUAUACGUUCAAAUGUGUAGUUGUGGUUUGUGAAUCAACCUUACAAAAUUCACAUAACUAGUAUUAUAUCAAUGUAUUUUUAUUACAGCUGAUGUACAAUGUAUUUGUAAAAUCAAAUCCAAAACAGCUGUGUGUUGAUGUUGAAACAUCAUUACGGAACCUCCGCAUGAUAUGUGGGGGUUUUUUAAUACCGUGAUGAACGGUUACAAUAAACCAACAUGAAGCUGA
This is a long non-coding RNA of Pecten maximus, 1102 nucleotides long. RefSeq lists it as uncharacterized. NCBI's taxonomy places the organism in Eukaryota, Metazoa, Mollusca, Bivalvia, Pectinida, Pectinidae. The transcript is spliced from 2 exons. The record is from RefSeq and is a predicted model, not a curated record.